UGGGGAAUUUUGCACAAUGGGGGAAACCCUGAUGCAGCGACGCCGCGUGAUUUAGAAGGCCUUCGGGUUGUAAAAAUCUUUUUUACGGGAUGAAAAUGACAGUACCGUAAGAAUAAGGUCCGGCUAAAUACGUGCCAGCAGCCGCGGUAAUACGUAUGGACCGAGCGUUGUCCGGAAUCAUUGGGCGUAAAGGGUACGUAGGCGGCCUAGUAAGUUAGAAGUUAAAGAAUAUAGCUCAACUAUAUAAAGCUUUUAAAACUGCUAGGCUUGAGAGAUGGAAGGGAGAGUGGAAUUCCUAGUGUAGCGGUGAAAUGCGCAGAUAUUAGGAAGAAUACCGGUGGCGAAGGCGACUUUCUGGUCAUAAUCUGGCGCUGAGGUACGAAAGCGUGGGUAGCAAACAGG
RNAcentral lists this ribosomal RNA (402 nucleotides) under Bacteroidota bacterium. Its description in RNAcentral is "Bacteroidetes bacterium partial 16S ribosomal RNA". It matches the Rfam family "Bacterial small subunit ribosomal RNA", at positions 355 to 776 of the family's 1533-position model. The record is from RNAcentral. Lineage: Bacteria; Pseudomonadati; Bacteroidota.